CCUCACGAUCCCUUAUUUUAUCAUAUUUUACUAGACCUCCAGUAGUAGGGUUAAUAGUUGUUUGACUUUCAUCCCCAUUAUUGCCUCAUUCUAUGGGAUCGUCAGAUCUCAUAUGUCUACUAAGUGUCUCGGUCCCCCCUAAAUUUCCUCCGGUCAAAUGUUUAAAAGUUUCUUUACAAAGUUUGCACUUAACUCUAUCAGUACCUUCUAUUAUUUCAAAAAAUUUCCAAACCGGACUUCUUUUUUUACGAGUAGAAGUUGGAGCCACUGGUUCCUCCGGUCAAAUGUUUAAAAGUUUCUUUACAAAGUUUGCACUUAACUCUAUCAGUACCUUCUAUUAUUUCCAUACCGGAC
This 354-nucleotide long non-coding RNA is filed under the name Nicotiana benthamiana. RNAcentral's name for it is "long non-coding RNA (NBEN_LNC014155)". The record is from RNAcentral. Lineage: Eukaryota; Viridiplantae; Streptophyta; Magnoliopsida; Solanales; Solanaceae.